Molecule: ribosomal RNA, 468 nt
Filed under: uncultured bacterium
Lineage: Bacteria
Description: partial 16S ribosomal RNA
Rfam family: Bacterial small subunit ribosomal RNA
Source: RNAcentral
GACGAACGCUGGCGGCGUGCUUAACACAUGCAAGUCGAACGGAAAGGCCCUGCUUUUGUGGGGUGCUCGAGUGGCGAACGGGUGAGUAACACGUGAGUAACCUGCCCUUGACUUUGGGAUAACUUCAGGAAACUGGGGCUAAUACCGGAUAGGAGCUCCUGCUGCAUGGUGGGGGUUGGAAAGUUUCGGCGGUUGGGGAUGGACUCGCGGCUUAUCAGCUUGUUGGUGGGGUAGUGGCUUACCAAGGCUUUGACGGGUAGCCGGCCUGAGAGGGUGACCGGCCACAUUGGGCCUGAGAUACGGCCCAGACUCCUACGAGAGGCAGCAGUGGGGAAUAUUGCACAAUGGGCGGAAGCCUGAUGCAGCAACGCCGCGUGCGGGAUGACGGCCUUCGGGUUGUAAACCGCUUUCGCCUGUGACGAAGCGUGAGUGACGGUAAUGGGUAAAGAAGCACCGGCUAACUACGUG